GACGAACGCUGGCGGCGUGCUUAACACAUGCAAGUCGAACGAAGAGCGAUGGAAGCUUGCUUCUAUCAAUCUUAGUGGCGAACGGGUGAGUAACGCGUAAUCAACCUGCCCUUCAGAGGGGGACAACAGUUGGAAACGACUGCUAAUACCGCAUACGAUCUAAUCUCGGCAUCGAGGAUAGAUGAAAGGUGGCCUCUACAUGUAAGCUAUCACUGAAGGAGGGGAUUGCGUCUGAUUAGCUAGUUGGAGGGGUAGCGGCCCACCAAGGCGAUGAUCAGUAGCCGGUCUGAGAGGAUGAACGGCCACAUUGGGACUGAGACACGGCCCAGACUCCUACGGGAGGCAGCAGUGGGGAAUCUUCCGCAAUGGACGAAAGUCUGACGGAGCAACGCCGCGUGAGUGAUGACGGCCUUCGGGUUGUAAAGCUCUGUUAAUCGGGACGAAAGGCCUUCUUGCGAAUAGUGAGAAGGAUUGACGGUACCGGAAUA
This 488-nucleotide ribosomal RNA is filed under the name Veillonella parvula. RNAcentral's name for it is "bacterial SSU rRNA". It matches the Rfam family "Bacterial small subunit ribosomal RNA", at positions 28 to 485 of the family's 1533-position model. Lineage: Bacteria; Bacillati; Bacillota; Negativicutes; Veillonellales; Veillonellaceae. The record is from RNAcentral.